AAUUCUUAAUCUACUUGAGCACAAAAUAAACAAAGCAAGAAAAGACAAAAUAAUGAAUUUUCUGUUUUUUCUCACCCAAGAGGGACUAGAUCCCUAUCAUCCAUCUGAAGACAUUACUCAGUGGUCAGAUCAUAGAGUCAAAUUCCCAACCAUUGUUGCCAAGAAGGGAGAAUCACUUAUCCGUCAUGCAUAAACCAGAAAUAAAACAAACACAAGUUCACUGAAGAUUAGAGAGAAGUAGAGCUGAAGGGUCAUUUUUAGAAAGGUAGAAUACUGACUCUCAUGUAAAUACAAAUGAAUGAAUGUUAAAGAUUGUAAUUAACUUUUAUUUAGCAAGGGGCCAGUUCACAUAUUUAUAUUUACAUGCUCCAUUGGACAAAAUCCAUUUGCAUUGCUGUGGAUACCCUUUGUGUUAAGUUGACAGAACACAUCUGCAUUGUCAUCAUCCUUUUGUAAGUUAAUUUCUGUCUCUAUGGAGUUGCCAGGUAGCACAGCUGGACAGUCAAAUGUGCUGGGUGCAGUGGCACACUCCUGGAAUCCCAGUGGCUCAGGAGACUGAGACAAGAGGAUGGCGGGUUCAAAGCCAGCUUCUGCAACUUAGUGAGGUUCUAAGUAACUUAGUGAGGACUUGUCUGUAAAUAAAAU
Molecule: long non-coding RNA, 645 nt
Filed under: Marmota monax (woodchuck)
Lineage: Eukaryota; Metazoa; Chordata; Mammalia; Rodentia; Sciuridae
Source: RNAcentral